RNAcentral lists this ribosomal RNA (253 nucleotides) under uncultured bacterium. RNAcentral's name for it is "partial 16S ribosomal RNA". It matches the Rfam family "Bacterial small subunit ribosomal RNA", at positions 524 to 776 of the family's 1533-position model. The record is from RNAcentral.
UACGUAGGUGACAAGCGUUAUCCGGAAUUAUUGGGCGUAAAGCGCCCGCAGGCGGCUGUUCAAGUCUGACGUGAAAUCGCUCGGCUUAACUGGGCGGGGUCGUUGGAAACUGAAUAGCUUGAGGCAAGGAGAGGGGCGUGGAAUUCCCGGUGUAGCGGUGAAAUGCGCAGAUAUCAGGAAGAACACCCGUGGCGGAGGCGGCUCUCUGGGACGGUACUGACGCUGAGACGCGAAAGCGUGGGGAGCGAACAGG